Molecule: ribosomal RNA, 1445 nt
Filed under: uncultured organism
Description: SSU rRNA
Rfam family: Bacterial small subunit ribosomal RNA
Source: RNAcentral
GCUUUCUACAGGCUUAACACAUGCAAGUCGAGGGGCAGCAUGGUCUUAGCUUGCUAAGGCCGAUGGCGACCGGCGCACGGGUGAGUAACACGUAUCCAACCUGCCGUCUACUCUUGGACAGCCUUCUGAAAGGAAGAUUAAUACAAGAUGGCAUCAUGAGUCCGCAUGUUCACAUGAUUAAAGGUAUUCCGGUAGACGAUGGGGAUGCGUUCCAUUAGAUAGUAGGCGGGGUAACGGCCCACCUAGUCUUCGAUGGAUAGGGGUUCUGAGAGGAAGGUCCCCCACAUUGGAACUGAGACACGGUCCAAACUCCUACGGGAGGCAGCAGUGAGGAAUAUUGGUCAAUGGGCGAGAGCCUGAACCAGCCAAGUAGCGUGAAGGAUGACUGCCCUAUGGGUUGUAAACUUCUUUUAUAAAGGAAUAAAGUCGGGUAUGGAUACCCGUUUGCAUGUACUUUAUGAAUAAGGAUCGGCUAACUCCGUGCCAGCAGCCGCGGUAAUACGGAGGAUCCGAGCGUUAUCCGGAUUUAUUGGGUUUAAAGGGAGCGUAGAUGGAUGUUUAAGUCAGUUGUGAAAGUUUGCGGCUCAACCGUAAAAUUGCAGUUGAUACUGGAUAUCUUGAGUGCAGUUGAGGCAGGCGGAAUUCGUGGUGUAGCGGUGAAAUGCUUAGAUAUCACGAAGAACUCCGAUUGCGAAGGCAGCCUGCUAAGCUGCAACUGACAUUGAGGCUCGAAAGUGUGGGUAUCAAACAGGAUUAGAUACCCUGGUAGUCCACACGGUAAACGAUGAAUACUCGCUGUUUGCGAUAUACUGCAAGCGGCCAAGCGAAAGCGUUAAGUAUUCCACCUGGGGAGUACGCCGGCAACGGUGAAACUCAAAGGAAUUGACGGGGGCCCGCACAAGCGGAGGAACAUGUGGUUUAAUUCGAUGAUACGCGAGGAACCUUACCCGGGCUUAAAUUGCAGAUGAAUUACGGUGAAAGCCGUAAGCCGCAAGGCAUCUGUGAAGGUGCUGCAUGGUUGUCGUCAGCUCGUGCCGUGAGGUGUCGGCUUAAGUGUCAUAACGAGCGCAACCCUUGUUGUCAGUUACUAACAGGUUCCGCUGAGGACUCUGACAAGACUGCCAUCGUAAGAUGUGAGGAAGGUGGGGAUGACGUCAAAUCAGCACGGCCCUUACGUCCGGGGCUACACACGUGUUACAAUGGGGGGUACAGAGGGCCGCUACCACGCGAGUGGAUGCCAAUCCCCAAAACCUCUCUCAGUUCGGACUGGAGUCUGCAACCCGACUCCACGAAGCUGGAUUCGCUAGUAAUCGCGCAUCAGCCACGGCGCGGUGAAUACGUUCCCGGGCCUUGUACACACCGCCCGUCAAGCCAUGGGAGCCGGGGGUACCUGAAGUGCGUAACCGCGAGGAGCGCCCUAGGGUAAAACUGGUGACUGGGGCUAA